GGGCCCGCACAAGCGGCGGAGCAUGCGGAUUAAUUCGAUGCAACGCGAAGAACCUUACCAAGGCUUGACAUAUAGAGGAAAAGUGCAGAAAUGCACUCCCCGCAAGGUCUCUAUACAGGUGGUGCAUGGUUGUCGUCAGCUCGUGUCGUGAGAUGUUGGGUUAAGUCCCGCAACGAGCGCAACCCUCGUCCUAUGUUGCCAGCACGUAAUGGUGGGAACUCAUGGGAUACUGCCGGGGUCAACUCGGAGGAAGGUGGGGAUGACGUCAAAUCAUCAUGCCCCUUAUGUCUUGGGCUUCACGCAUGCUACAAUGGCCGGUACAGAGGGCUGCAAUACCGCAAGGUGGAGCGAAUCCCAAAAAGCCGGUCUCAGUUCGGAUUGUUGUCUGCAACUCGACAACAUG
RNAcentral lists this ribosomal RNA (403 nucleotides) under uncultured bacterium. Its description in RNAcentral is "bacterial SSU rRNA". It matches the Rfam family "Bacterial small subunit ribosomal RNA", at positions 917 to 1322 of the family's 1533-position model. The record is from RNAcentral.